RNAcentral lists this long non-coding RNA (1429 nucleotides) under Felis catus (domestic cat). RNAcentral describes it as "lncRNA (ENSFCAG00000045205.2)". Lineage: Eukaryota; Metazoa; Chordata; Mammalia; Carnivora; Felidae. The record is from RNAcentral.
GUAGAAAAUUAAGGGGUUGUAGGGGCGCCUGCGUGGCUCAGUCAGUUGAGUGGCCCGACCCUUGAUUUCAGCUCAGGUCAUGGUCCCAGAGUUGUGGGAUUGAGCCCCGUGUCCAGCUCCAUGCUAAGGGCCUGCUUGGGAUUCUCUCUCUCUCUCUCUCUCCUCCCUCUCUCUCUCUCUCCAAAAAAAAAAGAAAGAAAAAGACAAAUCAAGUAGUUGUAAAGAAAAAGAUGAGAGAGACAGAGUGAGCACCCUAACAAAACAGCAGCGUAAAGAAUGACGUUUAUUUUUCUCAUGGGUGGUAGUCUUGGAAGAUGGGCAAGCUUCUGGCCACUCCGGUCCCCCGGGUCCUUCCAUCUCGUCUCUGCCAUCCCCUGUUGUCAUCUGUCUGGUUGAAGCUGAGGGAGGAAAAGGGGCAGGUGAGAGGUUCCCACUCCCACCCCCCUCCCAUUGGCCAGGAUCUGGUCAACUCCGUACCUCUCGUCACACAGGGGCUGAGGAGUACAGGUCUCUUAAAAAUUGCACAUGCCAGCUACAACUAUAUUCUUACGGAAAAUGACACUGGUUAGACUGGAGUGGGCGGAUAGUAACCUUUACCACAGUGGGAAAGCCAUCACGCACACCUGACUCCCAAGCAGCAGGACGAGUGUGGACAAGUCAGUCCAUCAUGUUAUCUAUACGUGAGGGAAGGUGUAAAGGCCAGAUCAGAGAAAGUAGGGAGAAAGAUUAAUAUUCCACGUGACCCAGGCGGAGACCUAGUACACAGCGUAGUGAUCACAGUCAAUAAUACUGUAUGAUAUAAUUCCAAAUUGCUAAGACACCACAUCUGAACUAUUCUCACCACAAACAUAAGAAACGAUCAUUGUGAUGUCAUCGAGGCGUUACUGCUAAGGUGACGAUCAUACCGCAAUAUGUAAAUGUAUCCGAUCUACACAUCGCACACCUUAAACUUACCCAAUAAAUGGGUCAAGCAGAAUGAGAGUGGAAUCUUCUUUGCCAAGACGACACGGCGUAUACCGGAUAUAUGCGCCCAAGCGAGCGAAUCUGAUCCCCACGGGAAGUCGGUUCAUCUCACAAACCAUCAGAACCCUGAGAUCCACACUGAGACUCCCGAGAUCCCAGAGCUGACAGAAAAGUGUGAGGAGUUCCAGGGACUGGUUUUCCUGAGACAAAAGGACAAACUAAAAGAUUUCAAAACUGAUCUGUUCCCGAUACCUCCAAGGUUCAUUUGAUGUGGGCGAACCAGACACAAAAACCAGCGUUGCUCCGAAUUCCCCGAUUAUCUCCAUGAAAGCAGCAGUGAGAAAUUCGUGCCAAACCUGACCCAGCCAUACUGAAUUUCAUGGUGGGAGCUUCAGUUAAGAAGAGUCAAAGAUUCCCUGGCUUCUCACCAAUCUGUCUACUAAUAAAUACACUGACUGUUGUAACA